This 890-nucleotide ribosomal RNA is filed under the name uncultured bacterium. RNAcentral's name for it is "bacterial SSU rRNA". It matches the Rfam family "Bacterial small subunit ribosomal RNA", at positions 56 to 944 of the family's 1533-position model. The record is from RNAcentral.
UGCAGUCGAGCGGUAACAGAUCCAGCUUGCUGGAUGCUGACGAGCGGCGGACGGGUGAGUAAUGCAUAGGAAUCUGCCCGAUAGUGGGGGAUAACCUGGGGAAACCCAGGCUAAUACCGCAUACGUCCUACGGGAGAAAGGGGGCUCCGGCUCCCGCUAUGGGAUGAGCCUAUGUCGGAUUAGCUAGUUGGUGAGGUAACGGCUCACCAAGGCCACGAUCCGUAGCUGGUCUGAGAGGAUGAUCAGCCACAUCGGGACUGAGACACGGCCCGAACUCCUACGGGAGGCAGCAGUGGGGAAUAUUGGACAAUGGGGGAAACCCUGAUCCAGCCAUGCCGCGUGUGUGAAGAAGGCCCUCGGGUUGUAAAGCACUUUCAGCGAGGAAGAACGCCUAGCGGUUAAUACCCGCUAGGAAAGACAUCACUCGCAGAAGAAGCACCGGCUAACUCCGUGCCAGCAGCCGCGGUAAUACGGAGGGUGCAAGCGUUAAUCGGAAUUACUGGGCGUAAAGCGCGCGUAGGUGGCUUGAUAAGCCGGUUGUGAAAGCCCCGGGCUCAACCUGGGAACGGCAUCCGGAACUGUCAAGCUAGAGUGCAGGAGAGGAAGGUAGAAUUCCCGGUGUAGCGGUGAAAUGCGUAGAGAUCGGGAGGAAUACCAGUGGCGAAGGCGGCCUUCUGGACUGACACUGACACUGAGGUGCGAAAGCGUGGGUAGCAAACAGGAUUAGAUACCCUGGUAGUCCACGCCGUAAACGAUGUCGACCAGCCGUUGGGUGCCUAGCGCACUUUGUGGCGAAGUUAACGCGAUAAGUCGACCGCCUGGGGAGUACGGCCGCAAGGUUAAAACUCAAAUGAAUUGACGGGGGCCCGCACAAGCGGUGGAGCAUGUGG